AUUGACCAUUCCAAAGGUUGGCCUUUCAUAAUCUGAGAUGCUUAUUUUAUUAAGAUCGACCACAUGGCAUUUAUAAUUUUUAUAUAUUUAUUAACUGAAGCCUUGUGACAGGAGUUCCAGCGAUUGGUUUCUAAACAAUUAAGUCCCAUCUUAUCAACCAGCUAUUUAUUAGUAAUCUAUUUUGGUGCAGCGGAUCUAGCCCUAAAGAUGAUAGCAUGACCGUCAGAACUUGGACCAAAAUUAUACAGCAAAUAUAUGUGGAUAAGUUCAAGUUUUGAAUUCAAAUGUUUCCUUACAACCACUCAAUGGUCAAAAGGC
This 318-nucleotide long non-coding RNA is filed under the name Elaeis guineensis (African oil palm). RNAcentral describes it as "long non-coding RNA (EGUI_LNC025288)". The record is from RNAcentral. Lineage: Eukaryota; Viridiplantae; Streptophyta; Magnoliopsida; Arecales; Arecaceae.